CGGCGGCGUGCUAUAAUGCAAGUCGAACGCUUUGUGGUUCAACUGAUUUGAAGAGCUUGCUCAGAUAUGACGAUGGACAUUGCAAAGAGUGGCGAACGGGUGAGUAACACGUGGGAAACCUACCUCUUAGCAGGGGAUAACAUUUGGAAACAGAUGCUAAUACCGUAUAACAAUGACAACCGCAUGGUUGUUAUUUAAAAGAUGGUUCUGCUAUCACUAAGAGAUGGUCCCGCGGUGCAUUAGCUAGUUGGUAAGGUAAUGGCUUACCAAGGCGAUGAUGCAUAGCCGAGUUGAGAGACUGAUCGGCCACAAUGGGACUGAGACACGGCCCAUACUCCUACGGGAGGCAGCAGUAGGGAAUCUUCCACAAUGGGCGAAAGCCUGAUGGAGCAACGCCGCGUGUGUGAUGAAGGGUUUCGGCUCGUAAAACACUGUUGUAAGAGAAGAAUGACAUUGAGAGUAACUGUUCAAUGUGUGACGGUAUCUUACCAGAAAGGAACGGCUAAAUACGUGCCAGCAGCCGCGGUAAUACGUAUGUUCCAAGCGUUAUCCGGAUUUAUUGGGCGUAAAGCGAGCGCAGACGGUUAUUUAAGUCUGAAGUGAAAGCCCUCAGCUCAACUGAGGAAUUGCUUUGGAAACUGGAUGACUUGAGUGCAGUAGAGGAAAGUGGAACUCCAUGUGUAGCGGUGAAAUGCGUAGAUAUAUGGAAGAACACCAGUGGCGAAGGCGGCUUUCUGGACUGUAACUGACGUUGAGGCUCGAAAGUGUGGGUAGCAAACAGGAUUAGAUACCCUGGUAGUCCACACCGUAAACGAUGAGUGCUAGGUGUUUGAGGGUUUCCGCCCUUAAGUGCCGCAGCUAACGCAUUAAGCACUCCGCCUGGGGAGUACGACCGCAAGGUUGAAACUCAAAGGAAUUGACGGGGACCCGCACAAGCGGUGGAGCAUGUGGUUUAAUUCGAAGCAACGCGAAGAACCUUACCAGGUCUUGACAUCCCUUGACAACUCCAGAGAUGGAGCGUUCCCUUCGGGGACAAGGUGACAGGUGGUGCAUGGUUGUCGUCAGCUCGUGUCGUGAGAUGUUGGGUUAAGUCCCGCAACGAGCGCAACCCUUAUUACUAGUUGCCAGCAUUCAGUUGGGCACUCUAGUGAGACUGCCGGUGACAAACCGGAGGAAGGUGGGGAUGACGUCAAAUCAUCAUGCCCCUUAUGACCUGGGCUACACACGUGCUACAAUGGCGUAUACAACGAGUUGCCAACCCGCGAGGGUGAGCUAAUCUCUUAAAGUACGUCUCAGUUCGGAUUGUAGGCUGCAACUCGCCUACAUGAAGUCGGAAUCGCUAGUAAUCGCGGAUCAGCACGCCGCGGUGAAUACGUUCCCGGGUCUUGUACACACCGCCCGUCACACCAUGAGAGUUUGUAACACCCAAAGCCGGUGGGGUAACCUUCGGGAGCCAGCCGUCUAAGUGAA
This 1470-nucleotide ribosomal RNA is filed under the name Weissella confusa. RNAcentral describes it as "bacterial SSU rRNA". It matches the Rfam family "Bacterial small subunit ribosomal RNA". Lineage: Bacteria; Bacillati; Bacillota; Bacilli; Lactobacillales; Lactobacillaceae. The record is from RNAcentral.